RNAcentral lists this ribosomal RNA (731 nucleotides) under uncultured bacterium. RNAcentral describes it as "bacterial SSU rRNA". It matches the Rfam family "Bacterial small subunit ribosomal RNA", at positions 80 to 811 of the family's 1533-position model. The record is from RNAcentral.
GUGAUGUAUGAGUUAGUGGCGGACGGGUGAGUAACGCGUGGAGAACCUGCCGUAUACUGGGGGAUAACACUUAGAAAUAGGUGCUAAUACCGCAUAAGCGCACAGCUUCGCAUGAAGCAGUGUGAAAAACUCCGGUGGUAUACGAUGGAUCCGCGUCUGAUUAGCUGGUUGGCGGGGUAACAGCCCACCAAGGCGACGAUCAGUAGCCGGCCUGAGAGGGUGAACGGCCACAUUGGGACUGAGACACGGCCCAAACUCCUACGGGAGGCAGCAGUGGGGAAUAUUGCACAAUGGGGGAAACCCUGAUGCAGCGACGCCGCGUGAGUGAAGAAGUAUUUCGGUAUGUAAAGCUCUAUCAGCAGGGAAGAAAUACUGACCUUACGGUCAGCAGACGGUACCUGACUAAGAAGCCCCGGCUAACUACGUGCCAGCAGCCGCGGUAAUACGUAGGGGGCAAGCGUUAUCCGGAUUUACUGGGUGUAAAGGGAGCGUAGACGGCAGCGCAAGUCUGAAGUGAAAUCCCAUGGCUUAACCAUGGAACUGCUUUGGAAACUGUGCAGCUGGAGUGCAGGAGAGGUAAGCGGAAUUCCUAGUGUAGCGGUGAAAUGCGUAGAUAUUAGGAGGAACACCAGUGGCGAAGGCGGCUUGCUGGACUGUAACUGACGUUGAGGCUCGAAAGCGUGGGGAGCAAACAGGAUUAGAUACCCUGGUAGUCCACGCCGUAAACGAUG